GUCAGGCAGCGGGCGAGGCGGCGGGCAGCUAGCAGCUGGCGGACGCGACCCGGAGGCGGUGGGGGUGCGGCUGGGCCAUGCCCGGUGGCGCGGCCUGAGCCCCUCCACCUGCUGCAAGCAUGAAGGACAGCGGGGACUCCAAGGACCAGCAACUCAUGGUGGCGCUUCGGGUCCGGCCCAUCAGCGUGGCAGAGCUGGAGGAAGGAGCUACCCUCAUCGCCCAUAAAGUGGAUGAGCAGAUGGUUGUUCUCAUGGACCCAAUGGAGGAUCCCGACGACAUCCUGCGGGCACAUCGCUCCCGGGAGAAGUCCUACCUGUUCGACGUGGCCUUUGACUUCACCGCCACCCAGGAGAUGGUGUAUCAGGCCACCACGAAGAGCCUCAUCGAAGGCGUCAUCUCAGGCUACAAUGCCACUGUCUUUGCCUAUGGCCCCACAGGCUGUGGGAAAACCUACACCAUGCUGGGCACAGACCAGGAGCCCGGCAUCUAUGUUCGGACCCUCAAUGACCUCUUCCAUGCCAUCGAGGAGACCAGCAAUGACAUGGAGUAUGAGGUCUCCAUGUCCUACCUGGAGAUCAUGCAGCUGCUGAUGAAGGGGAACCGGCAGAGGACCCAGGAGCCCACGGCCGCCAACCAGACGUCCUCCCGCUCCCACGCGGUGCUGCAGGUGGCCGUGCGCCAGCGCAGCCGGGUCAAGAACAUCUUGCAAGAGGUGCGGCACGGCCGCCUGUUCAUGAUCGACCUGGCUGGCUCGGAGCGUGCCUCCCAGACACAGAAUCGUGGGCAGCGUAUGAAGGAGGGGGCCCACAUCAACCGCUCACUGCUGGCACUGGGCAACUGCAUCAACGCCCUGAGCGACAAGGGUAGCAACAAGUACAUCAACUAUCGCGACAGCAAGCUCACCCGGCUCCUGAAGGACUCUCUGGGAGGAAACAGCCGCACAGUGAUGAUCGCUCACAUCAGUCCUGCGAGCAGUGCCUUCGAGGAGUCCCGGAACACCCUGACCUAUGCCGGCCGGGCCAAGAACAUCAAGACGAGGGUGAAGCAGAACCUGCUGAACGUCUCCUACCACAUCGCCCAGUACACCAGCAUCAUCGCUGACCUGCGGGGCGAGAUCCAGCGACUCAAGUGCAAGAUUGAUGAGCAGACUGGGCGGGGCCAGGCCCGGGGCCGGCAGGAUCGGGGUGACAUCCGCCACAUCCAAGCCGAGGUCCAGCUGCGCAGCGGGCAGGGUGAGAAGGCCGGCAUGGGACAGCUUCGGGAGCAGCUCGCCAGCGCCUUCCACGAGCAGAUGGAUGUGCGGAGGCGCCUGCUGGAGCUGGAGAACCGCGCCAUGGAGGUCCAGAUUGACACCUCCCGACACCUGCUCACCAUCGCCGGCUGGAAGCACGAGAAGUCCCGCCGGGCCCUCAAAUGGCGGGAGGAGCAGCGAAAGGAGUGCUACACUAAGGACGACAGCGAGAAGGACUCAGACACAGGCGAUGACCAGCCAGACAUCCUGGAGCCGCCCGAGGUGGCCGCAGCCCGGGAGAGCAUUGCAACCCUGGUGGGCGAGCAGAAGCAGCUGCACAAGCAGAAGGUGUCCAGGGUUUGGGGGAGCAAGGAGAGUGGGUUUAGGGGACAGGGUGAGCAGGUUUGAGAGGCAAGGCGGAGGGGACGGGGUGGGAGUAGCCGUGAGACUUGGGAACUCAGGCCACAAAUGCUGUGUGACUUUGCUAAGUUCUGUAACUUCUCUGUGCGUCACAUUCCCCACCUGUAAAAUGGGAGCAGUCCACGGUGCAGCCCUCAUGGGGUUGCUGGGAAGAUUACAUAAAUGCCUGGCACAUACCAAGGACUCAAAAAAUGGUAACUAAUGUUAUAAUUAGGGUUUUUCAGGCCGGGCACAGUGGCUUACACCUGUAAUCUCAGCAUGGUGGGAAGUUGAGGUAGGCAGAUCACUUGAGGCCAGGCGUUCAGCCUGGCCAACAUGGCGAAAUCCCGUCUCUACUAAAAAUACAAAAAAAAA
RNAcentral lists this small RNA (2006 nucleotides) under Pongo abelii (Sumatran orangutan). RNAcentral describes it as "retained intron". Lineage: Eukaryota; Metazoa; Chordata; Mammalia; Primates; Hominidae. The record is from RNAcentral.